UACGUAGGGGGCAAGCGUUGUCCGGAUUUAUUGGGCGUAAAGAGCUCGUAGGUGGUUCGGUAAGUCGGAUGUGAAAUCUCCAGGCUCAACCUGGAGGGGUCAUUCGAUACUGCCGUGACUAGAGGUCGGUAGGGGAGUGUGGAAUUCCUGGUGGAGCGGUGAAAUGCGCAGAUAUCAGGAGGAACACCGGUGGCGAAGGCGGGUCUCUGGGCCGAUACUGACGCUGAGGAGCGAAAGCGUGGGGAGCGAGCAGG
RNAcentral lists this ribosomal RNA (254 nucleotides) under uncultured bacterium. RNAcentral's name for it is "partial 16S ribosomal RNA". It matches the Rfam family "Bacterial small subunit ribosomal RNA", at positions 524 to 776 of the family's 1533-position model. The record is from RNAcentral.